Molecule: long non-coding RNA, 2024 nt
Filed under: Bos indicus x Bos taurus (hybrid cattle)
Lineage: Eukaryota; Metazoa; Chordata; Mammalia; Artiodactyla; Bovidae
Description: lncRNA (ENSBIXG00005002656.1)
Source: RNAcentral
CACAAUUAAAAAAGUAGGCAAAUAACUUGAAGACAUAUUAUUUUAAAGAAUAUUCACUAGUGGUGUGUGCAUCACCCAGCUUCAACAGUUAUCAAGAUUUUACUAUCCAUAUUAUAUCCAGUUCCCUGCUUAUUUCUAUAUUUUUGUUAGGCUAUUCAUAAAGCAAAUCCAGCCACCAUUCCAUUUCAACUGUAAAAUUUUCAGUCCGUGUGUACCAAUGUGAUAAAUUGUGUCUAUGCUGCUGUGUAUAUGUCCAGAAGUUUAAGCGAUUGCUUUGAACCACUGGCUAGUAUUUUAGAGUGAGUAAACACCUUUAUUUAUUUGUCCCCAGAGAUGAAUACCUAGUCUCCAACUAUCCACUUCCACAGAAUUACUAUGAAGACCAGCCAUGUUCAUUUGCUCUUGGAUUUUAUCUGAGGAUUUUUCUGGGAUACAUACUCAAAAAGAUGAUGACUAGCUCAGGUGAUGUUCAUGGAGACUAAAUGUUAACAGAAGAUGCUAAACCUCUGGCUUUCAUGGUCUACUAGGAAACACAGAUGAAUGAAUAAGAGAAAUGACUCUGGCAACAAAGAUUCUGGUGCUGAGAAACAAGAGUAUGGUAAAAAUUCUUUAUAUGAAUCAAUAAACUAUUUACAAGGACCAGUGUGAAGAUGGGCAUGUGAGUGGUACAGUGUGUUUGCACGCUCAGUUGUAUCCGAGUCUUUGCAAAGCCAUGGACUGUAGCCCGCCAGGCUCCUCUGUCCAUGGGAUUCUUCAGUUCAGUUCAGUCGCUCAGUCGUGUCCGACUCUUUGCAACCCCAUGAAUCGCAGCACGCCAGGCCUCCCUGUCUAUCACCAACUCCUGGAGUUCACCCAGACUCACGUCCAUCGAGUCAGUGAUUUUUUUUUAAUGGCUGGUAAUUCCUCUAUCUGGGUUCUCUGUUCUUUAUCUUAUUAUCUUAUUCCCUCCCUCUGUGGACUUUGUCCAGUGUGUCUUUCUCUUUCUUCUGUGUUUUCAACCUUCUGCUCUCUAUUGAGUUUCUAAGACUCUAUAAUAUAUACUGUAGUCUCUCCUAACUUAAAAAACAACCAACACCCCUCCCUAGCUGUUGCCCUAUUUUGCUCUUCUUCUUUUUCUGAGAUGCUCCUCCUUUCAUUUACUACCAACUCAUAUUCUUCAACAUGCCACAUCCUGGUUUCUGUUCUUCCUCUUCAAUGAAACUGGAAAAGGUCACCAAUCCAAUGGACAGUCACAGUCAGAUAGUUACACAAGUCAUUGUCUUGUGUAACCUCUUUGCAACAUUUUAUGUUACUUCUCACUGAAUCCUUGAAAAUAUUCCUUCUUUGGUUUCUGUGACAUUACUCUAUCCAUAGUUUAUUUAAUAGUUUCAUUCCUCAGUCACUUUUAUGAGAUUUUCUUUUUUGCUUGCUCUCUCCAUAUUGAUAUUACUAUGUGUUCUUUUCUCUCCAUAGACUGUGUGUGUAAGAGGAGAAAAGCAGACGCUAGUCUAAUUCAGUCAUAUAAAUGGAAGAAAUACCUCCAUGCCUAGAUCCAAAAUACAUAUCUGCAAACCAAGCAUUUUUCCUAAAGUCAGGAUCAUAUAUGUCUAGUUGACAACUUUUCCCAGAUGUCCUAUAAACAUACCAAAACAUGACCUCACUGUUAAAUCUAUUUCUUGCUUUAUCAAAUGGCUUCACCAUCCAGCAUGACAUACCUCAGAAAUCUCAGAGUUUUUGCCUUUAAAUCAUUUUGUCUUUUACUCACUAAACUCAUUGGUUGUCAGGUCUUAUAGAUUAUAGCUACCUUUCUUUAAUAUCUCAUAUCUCUUCUCACCUGUCAAUCUUAUCUAGAAUUCUUAUCUAAGAACUCUUCAAUAGGACAUACCUGGUCUUUUAAGAUUGCUUGUGGUAAAAAAAAUGAAAUUUAUAUAUUUAUAGAGUGCUGACAGCUGAAGGAGGGAAGAUAGUCACAGAGGCUUCCUGUCUGUGAAACAAAUGGACGUUGACUUGUACCAUAAGCAUAGUUAAUACAUAUUUGUUACUUU